RNAcentral lists this ribosomal RNA (210 nucleotides) under uncultured bacterium. RNAcentral's name for it is "partial 16S ribosomal RNA". It matches the Rfam family "Bacterial small subunit ribosomal RNA", at positions 1292 to 1500 of the family's 1533-position model. The record is from RNAcentral.
UUCGGAUUGUAGUCUGCAACCCGACUACAUGAAGCUGGAAUCGCUAGUAAUCGCGGAUUAGAAUGCCGCGGUGAAUACGUUCCCGGGUCUUGUACACACCGCCCGUCACACCAUGGGAGCCGGGAAUGCCCGAAGUCGGUGACCUAACCUUUAAGGGGGGAGCCGCCGAAGGCAGGUCUGGUAACUGGGGUGAAGUCGUAACAAGGUAGC